AGUUUGAUGAAAAAGAAAACUUUUCUAUAUGGAAAGUUUGGGUAGAAGAUCUUUUGGUUCAAGCAGAUCUGGAUCAAACAUUGGAGGAGAAGUUUGAAGGGAUGAUGGAUCAUCAAUGGAGGUCCCUGGAGAAGAAGGCUUGUUUUGUGAUUAGAAGAUAUUUGGCGGAUACGGCACUCUAUUUAGUUUUAGAGGAGAGG
RNAcentral lists this long non-coding RNA (200 nucleotides) under Elaeis guineensis (African oil palm). Its description in RNAcentral is "long non-coding RNA (EGUI_LNC056909)". The record is from RNAcentral. Lineage: Eukaryota; Viridiplantae; Streptophyta; Magnoliopsida; Arecales; Arecaceae.